RNAcentral lists this ribosomal RNA (808 nucleotides) under uncultured bacterium. Its description in RNAcentral is "bacterial SSU rRNA". It matches the Rfam family "Bacterial small subunit ribosomal RNA", at positions 85 to 925 of the family's 1533-position model. The record is from RNAcentral.
CCCAAGUAGAGUGGCGAAAGGGUGAGUAAUACGUUUCUACGUGCCUUGAGGUCGAGGAUAGCCAGGGGAAACUCUGGGUAAUACUCGAUGUGGUCGCAAGAUCAAAGAUUUAUCGCCUUAAGAGCGGGGAACGUCCUAUCAGGUAGUUGGUGAGGUAAUGGCUCACCAAGCCUAAGACGGGUAGCAGGUGUGAGAGCACGGCCUGCCACAUCGGGACUGAGACACUGCCCGGACUUCUACGGAAGGCUGCAGUAACGAAUCUUCCGCAAUGCGCGAAAGCGUGACGGAGCAAUGCCGCGUGCAGGAUGAAGCCCCUCGGGGUGUAAACUGCUGUCAGGGAUUAGGAACCAAAUGACCAUUCCCAAAGGAAGAGACGACUAACUCUGUGCCAGCAGUCGCGGUAAUACAGAGGUCUCGAGCGUUAGUCGGAAUCACUGGGCUUAAAGCGUACGUAGGCGGAUCUGUAGGCGUCGUGUGAAAUACCUCGGCUCAACCGAGGAACUGCACGGCGAACCACAGUUCUUGAGACAAGUAGGGGCGGUCGGAACGAUAGGUGGAGUGGUGAAAUGCGUUGAUAUCUAUCGGAACGCCGAAGGUGAAGACAGGCCGCUGGGCUUGUUCUGACGCUGAGGUACGAGAGCGUGGGGAGCAAACGGGAUUAGAUACCCCGGUAGUCCACGCUGUAAACGAUGUGCACUAGAUCGAGGAGGUUCUGACACCAUUCUCGGUCGAAGUAAAAACGUUGAGUGCACCGCCUGGGGAGUACGGUCACAAGGCUAAAACUCAAAGGAAUUGACGGGGGCUCACA